GGGGCACAAAACAUGAGUCCGCAGCACUUAAGAAUGCUGUGCGCUCCGGACCCAACACAAAUUAAUUAAGAAACAAUUGCAAUAAAAAAUGCCCCCCACCUUACCCGUCACUUGGUAUGAUCUGGUCCUGUGUUGCCUGCGUCGCAGCGUCACUACGCAUGACGCUGCACCAGCCCGUCCCUGCCGCCGCCAACCCCGAGGAGCUGUGCAGCGGUACAGCACUGCCAGUCACACUGACAGCCUGUCUCAGACAGCAGACAGCCGUAGCCUCACCACUGUGCUGUCCCUUCGUCUCUGGGGCCCGAGUCCAACACUUCCUCUGCACCUAAUUGCUGAUCCCCAGCCAGGGGUGUUUUAGUCUGGACCUCUGCUCUCUUUGCCUGGACGGCUGGUGGUGCCUUCAGGGCAGGCUGCAUGGACAGACACCGCUGGAUGACGUGACCUGAUGACACCACUGGAAGUCCGACGGGGUUGUCAGCCGGCAUGUCUCAGUGAAUGUCUGAUGGCGGGAGAUCCCAGCUGCACUGUAUCAGAGCCUCUACAAGAUUACACCUGCUGCAGGAUAUUUAAUUAACAGAAGGAAGGGGACGGAUAGCUGAAACUCAUUUCAAGCAGCUGUUGAAUUAAAUCCGUUUAGGGCCAUACUUGUCCCAAACAGUUAUUCAUUCACUUACAGUAGGUACAGUCAUGGGCGGACCAAGAACAAAAUGACACAGAGGCAUCAUGACAGGGGAUCUCAGUGCAUCCAGGAGACAGGUCCCGGUGGUUUUUCUCAUGUUCCUGGCCAGUAUUAAGCCAGGUAUAGGAGCAGUUACUUAUUGA
Pseudophryne corroboree (corroboree frog) is the source of this 822-nucleotide long non-coding RNA. RefSeq lists it as uncharacterized. The record is from RefSeq and is a predicted model, not a curated record. Lineage: Eukaryota; Metazoa; Chordata; Amphibia; Anura; Myobatrachidae. The transcript is spliced from 5 exons.